Molecule: ribosomal RNA, 253 nt
Filed under: uncultured microorganism
Description: partial 16S ribosomal RNA
Rfam family: Bacterial small subunit ribosomal RNA
Source: RNAcentral
UACGGAGGGGGCGAGCGUUGUUCGGAGUCACUGGGCGUAAAGCGCACGUAGGCGGUGCUGUAAGUCUGGGGUCAAAGGCUACGGCUCAACCGUAGUAAGGCCUCAGAUACUAUCGUGCUAGAGUGCCGGAGAGGGUAGCGGAAUUCCCUGUGUAGCGGUGAAAUGCGUAGAUAUAGGGAGGAACACCGGUUGCGAAGGCGGCUACCUGGCUGGUAACUGACGCUGAGGUGCGAGAGCGUGGGGAGCAAACAGG